GAUGAACGCUGGCGGCGUGCCUAAUACAUGCAAGUCGAGCGAACAGACGAGGAGCUUGCUCCUCUGACGUUAGCGGCGGACGGGUGAGUAACACGUGGAUAACCUACCUAUAAGACUGGGAUAACUUCGGGAAACCGGAGCUAAUCCCGGAUAAUAUAUUGAACCGCAUGGUUCAAUAGUGAAAGACGGCUUUGCUGUCACUUAUCGAUGGAUCCGCGCCGCAUUAGCUAGUUGGUAAGGUAACGGAUUACCAAGGCAGCGAUGCGUAGGCGACCUGAGAGGGUGAUCGGCCACACUGGAACUGAGACACGGUCCAGACUCCUACGGGAGGCAGCAGUAGGGAAUCUUCCGCAAUGGGCGAAAGCUUGACGGAGCAACGCCGCGUGAGUGAUGAAGGUCUUCGGAUCGUAAAACUCUGUUAUUAGGGAAGAACAAAUGUGUAAGUAACUAUGCACGUCUUGACGGUACCUAAUCAGAAAGCCACGGCUAACUACGUG
This 497-nucleotide ribosomal RNA is filed under the name uncultured bacterium. Its description in RNAcentral is "partial 16S ribosomal RNA". It matches the Rfam family "Bacterial small subunit ribosomal RNA", at positions 28 to 507 of the family's 1533-position model. The record is from RNAcentral.